CAUAACCGCAACUCAGGGGGGCCAACCCACAACAGACUCCAGCAGUCUCCCAAAACCAUAGCACAGAAACACUAAAACUUCCCGCGAGCAUAACACCCAACCACUGAGACCAAAAGUUGACUAUGUUUAUACUUGAUUGUGUAUUUUUGUAUUUUUGUAUGUUUUUUACGUCGGUAUUUAUGUUCCGUGGUAUAAUAUGGAUUAACCACUGUGCGACCUAUCAACACCCAACUAAUGCAACAGCAAAGCUGGAAACUAGCUGGACAAAUUGUCUACUCACAUAACAAUGUCAAACAUGUUAUAUCAUAAGACAAAUGUAUACACCAUGGUUGCAAAAUGCUUCUGAAAAGGUGAAAAUAAAUAAAGAAUGUUUUAAAAAAAAAAU
Pelobates cultripes (western spadefoot toad) is the source of this 385-nucleotide non-coding RNA. NCBI's taxonomy places the organism in Eukaryota, Metazoa, Chordata, Amphibia, Anura, Pelobatidae. The record is from the annotation of a GenBank genome assembly.